AUCUUUUGUAGUUCAUAAUGUGAUGCUUGGAUGUUCCCAUUCAUGUGUGAGAUGUGUCUCACUCAAAUGUUGGCACAUUACCCAUGUGGAA
Callithrix jacchus (white-tufted-ear marmoset) is the source of this 91-nucleotide small nucleolar RNA. The record is from Ensembl. NCBI's taxonomy places the organism in Eukaryota, Metazoa, Chordata, Mammalia, Primates, Cebidae.